RNAcentral lists this ribosomal RNA (2478 nucleotides) under Triticum aestivum (bread wheat). RNAcentral describes it as "partial small subunit ribosomal RNA". The record is from RNAcentral. Lineage: Eukaryota; Viridiplantae; Streptophyta; Magnoliopsida; Poales; Poaceae.
AUGGAGGCCUCUGGGAGCUGGGACGCCAUCGACUGGAACCAAAUCGAGGAUCCGAGGUCGCGGAGGUCUUCGCAGGGAAUGGAGGAGUUCCUGCUCGAGGACGAGGAGGUUUAUGCCCAGGGCCAUGGUGUUGUUCUACUAAACACAGAUGAGGCCGGCAUUGUUUCAGUGACAAAUUUCCGUCUUCUCUUUGUGAGCCAGGUAACAAAAAGCAUAAUAGAGUUAGGUACCAUACCCCUUAGUACAAUUGAGAAGUUAAAUGAUGUAAGUCUCCAGGAUGUAAAGCUUCAAUCCGUACCACGCCAGUAUGAUAAGAAGCAGCCUCGUGAACUUCUUCAAGUCAUUGGUAAAGACAUGAGAGUUAUUGUGUUCGCUUUUCGUCCUAGAACCAAGCAGAAAAAUGAAGUGUUUGACGCUUUGAGAAGAUAUGCUAAACCUUCUCAGCUGUGGGAGCUAUAUGCAUUUUCUUGUGACCCAUCCACUGUUGAUAAGAAAUCCGAUCCAAAGAUGCGUCUCAUGAAGGAAUACCAUCGUCUUCUUAGCGAAGGCAGUGAGUUUGAAGUUGAAAAAUAUUAUUUCCGUAACAAUUGGAGACUAACCACAGUUAAUUCGAGCUAUUCAUUGUGUUCAACAUACCCCUCUCAGUUGAUUGUUCCUAAGAGCAUAAGUGAUGAAGAUUUGUGGCAAGCUUCUACUUUCCGAGCCGGCAGACGCUUGCCUAUUAUUUCGUGGUGUAACCCUGUUUCUGGAGCUGUCUUGGCAAGAUCGUCUCAACCGCUGGUGGGAUUAAUGAUGAACUUUAGAAACAAUGCUGACGAGAAGCUUGUUUCUGCUCUCUGCACCCAAAAUGUUGAUGCGAAUUUGCCUCCAAGGAAAUUAUACAUAGUUGAUGCCCGGCCAAGAGCAAAUGCUUUAGCAAAUGGGGCAAAGGGUGGUGGCUCAGAGUCAUCUUCUAAUUAUCCAAAAUCUGAGGUUCUUUUCUUAGGAAUACAAAACAUCCACACAAUGAGAGAUAGUCUUUCUCGCCUUAGGGAUUAUGUGGAUGCCCAUGGGUCAAUAUCAUCAAACGGUUCCUCUUCAGCUGUAUCCCUCGUCGGAGACCGGAGAAAUCGUGGAUCAACCUGGGGUGGAGGCAGUCUUAAUAGCAUGACACAGUUUUCUUCGAUGUUAGGGGAAUGGCUAAAUCAUAUCCAGAACAUCCUGGUUGGUGCUUCAUGGAUUGCUGCACAAAUUGCCCAGGAAUCAGCUUCAGUUCUUGUCCAUUGCAGUGAUGGUUGGGACCGCACAACCCAGUUGAUUGCACUUGCUUGUUUGUUGCUUGACCCCUAUUAUAGAACGUUCGAUGGGUUCCAGGCCCUUGUGGAAAAGGAUUGGCUAGCUUUUGGUCACCCGUUUGCAGAGCGAUUGGGAAUUCCAACAGUGUCCGAGAAUGGGGGAUCACAGUAUGAGUUACUAAGGCAACCAUCUGUUGGGAAUUUAACCAGUUCGCCGAGCAGAGGUUCUUUAGGAACACCAGGGUCAUCCUCUAAUACAUCAGUUCAAUCCCAGACAUCAAACAACAGUUCACCCAUACUGUUACAGUGGCUUGAUUGUAUUGCUCAGUUGUUACGUCUAUACCCAGCUGCAUUUCAGUUUUCAUCUAAAUUCCUAGUUGACUUUAUGGAUUGUGUGCUAUCAUGUCGCUUUGGGAACUUCCUAUGCAAUAGUGAGCGGGAAAGAGAGCAAUCUGGGGUUACAAGCUCUUGCCAUUGCAUGUGGACGUACUUGGCUGAUCUCCGGGCUUCUGGUGGUAGCUUCCAUGAGCACAUUAAUCCAUUUUAUGACCGAGAGAGGUAUUGGCUCCCCCUUGUACCCCCUGCUGCAGCACUUGCUCCAACUCUAUGGCCUCAGUUUUAUUUGAGAUGGACAUGUCCCCCUGAAUCACAAGGUGGCGGUCUUGAAUCCCAUGGGCAUUCCAUGCGUAAAAAAUACGAGGCCUCAGUCAAGUCAAAGGAGAUGGCUGAAUCAAGAUCAAGGGAUAUUAAAAUGAAGAUGGAGUCUAUGCUGACAGACUUGCAGAGGGAGAGGCGUGCAAGUAGUUCAGCCUUAGCCAUGGCUCAAAGGGCUCGAAGGGAGAACGUCGCCAUUAAAAGGGCGAUCCAAACUAUAGGGUGCACUGUUAAUUUCUCGACGAACGAAAACCAAGUGGACAAGUCCGAGGAGAUGUCAUAUUCAUUUCGAAGAGAAGCUGACACUGUAUCCCAGCAAGAUGAUAAUGCUGACCUGUCUGUAUCCAUCUCUGCGAUUGAGGACAGUUUGGUAUCAGAGACACCAAGCAACCAAGUUUGCGAAACGCUCUGCCCCUUCCGCAGCAGAGAGGGGUGCAGAUGGCCGCAUGCUGCUUGUGCGCAGCUAGGAAGCCAGUUUGUUGGUUUAAAGGCAAAUUUUGAUGCUUUUGACCGGCUAUCUGUAAAAGAUUGCUAUUUUCCUAAAGAAUAG